Molecule: ribosomal RNA, 253 nt
Filed under: uncultured bacterium
Lineage: Bacteria
Description: partial 16S ribosomal RNA
Rfam family: Bacterial small subunit ribosomal RNA
Source: RNAcentral
UACGUAGGGGGCUAGCGUUGUCCGGAAUCAUUGGGCGUAAAGCGCGUGUAGGCGGUCCGGUAAGUCCGCUGUGAAAGUCGGGGGCUCAACCCUCGGAUGCCGGUGGAUACUGUCGGGCUCGAGUACGGAAGAGGCGAGUGGAAUUCCUGGUGUAGCGGUGAAAUGCGCAGAUAUCAGGAGGAACACCUAUUGCGAAGGCAGCUCGCUGGGACGUUACUGACGCUGAGACGCGAAAGCGUGGGGAGCAAACAGG